GAUGAACGCUGGCGGCGUGCUUAACACAUGCAAGUCGAACGAAGCACUUUGACCUCUUCGGAGCGAUGAGUGACUGAGUGGCGGACGGGCGAGUAACGCGUGGGUAACCUGCCUCGUACAGGGGGACAGCAGUUGGAAACGACUGCUAAUACCGCAUAAGCGCACGGUAUCGCAUGAUACAGUGUGAAAAGCUGAGGCGGUACGAGAUGGACCCGCGUUGGAUUAGCUAGUUGGUGGGGUAACGGCCUACCAAGGCGACGAUCAGUAGCCGACCUGAGAGGGUGACCGGCCACAUUGGGACUGAGAUACGGCCCAG
This 316-nucleotide ribosomal RNA is filed under the name uncultured bacterium. RNAcentral's name for it is "bacterial SSU rRNA". It matches the Rfam family "Bacterial small subunit ribosomal RNA", at positions 28 to 334 of the family's 1533-position model. The record is from RNAcentral.